UUUAUGGAGAGUUUGAUCCUGGCUCAGGAUGAACGCUGGCGGCGUGCCUAAUACAUGCAAGUCGAGCGAACGGACGAGAAGCUUGCUUCUCUGAUGUUAGCGGCGGACGGGUGAGUAACACGUGGAUAACCUACCUAUAAGACUGGGAUAACUUCGGGAAACCGGAGCUAAUACCGGAUAAUAUUUUGAACCGCAUGGUUCAAAAGUGAAAGACGGUCUUGCUGUCACUUAUAGAUGGAUCCGCGCUGCAUUAGCUAGUUGGUAAGGUAACGGCUUACCAAGGCAACGAUGCAUAGCCGACCUGAGAGGGUGAUCGGCCACACUGGAACUGAGACACGGUCCAGACUCCUACGGG
This 355-nucleotide ribosomal RNA is filed under the name Staphylococcus aureus. RNAcentral's name for it is "bacterial SSU rRNA". It matches the Rfam family "Bacterial small subunit ribosomal RNA", at positions 1 to 345 of the family's 1533-position model. Lineage: Bacteria; Bacillati; Bacillota; Bacilli; Caryophanales; Staphylococcaceae. The record is from RNAcentral.